Molecule: long non-coding RNA, 233 nt
Organism: Psammomys obesus (fat sand rat)
Lineage: Eukaryota; Metazoa; Chordata; Mammalia; Rodentia; Muridae
Exons: 3
Source: RefSeq, a predicted model, not a curated record
AACUCAUUCUAUUACAGGAAUCAAACAAGAGCCAGGAGAGUUUUCCUUUAGUGAACUGUGUGUGUGUGCGGUGCUGGAACUCUACCUCCAUGCCCUUUGUAAACGUGAGGCAGUUCUGAAGAUCUGCAGCUUGACACUUCCAGUUUUCCUUUUACUCACUAACGGGACAACUUUUAGGAGAUUGGCCUUGCUGGGAUCCUCUAGCUUCAGUCCCCUGGGUCCUGGGAUUUUCA